RNAcentral lists this ribosomal RNA (366 nucleotides) under uncultured bacterium. RNAcentral's name for it is "bacterial SSU rRNA". It matches the Rfam family "Bacterial small subunit ribosomal RNA", at positions 29 to 414 of the family's 1533-position model. The record is from RNAcentral.
AACGAACGCUGGCGGCAUGCCUAACACAUGCAAGUCGAACGGGAUCCUGGUUUCGGCCAGGUGAGAGUGGCGGACGGGUGAGUAACGCGUGGGAACCUGCCCAGUGGUGGGGGAUAACUGCGGGAAACUGCAGCUAAUACCGCAUGAGCCCGCAAGGGGAAAGAUUGAUCGCCAUUGGAGGGGCCCGCGUUCGAUUAGGUAGUUGGUGAGGUAACGGCUCACCAAGCCUACGAUCGAUAGCUGGUCUGAGAGGAUGAUCAGCCACACUGGGACUGAGAUACGGCCCAGACUCCUACGGGAGGCAGCAGUGGGAAUAUUGGACGAUGGGGCAACCCUGAUCCAGCAAUGCCGCGUGAGUGAUGAAGG